Molecule: long non-coding RNA, 2708 nt
Filed under: Homo sapiens (human)
Lineage: Eukaryota; Metazoa; Chordata; Mammalia; Primates; Hominidae
Description: HSALNT0158296
Source: RNAcentral
UCACGCGGUUGGGAAGAGAUGCGCGGUAGCCACCGUCAAACGGUAUUUCCACCAUGCGGACACAAUAGAUGUAAACCACCCAGCGAACAAAGAUAACAGUAAAAGGUAGCAAAUAAUUAGGAAGUGAUCAGUUGUAAGUAAUUCUUGCCUUUGUUUUUAAUAUAAUUUAUUAAAUUGUAAAUUUAAAUAUUUUAAUUUUUUUUUUUUUUUUUGAGACAGCGUCUCAAUCUGUCACCCAGGCUGCAGUGCAGUGGCAUGGUCACAGCUCACUGCAAUCUUGAACUGCUGGACUCAAGGGAUUCUCCCACCUCGCCCUUACCAGUAGCUGGGACUACAGGAUGACGUAGCACAAACGCCCUUGAUACAUGGGGGCCCCUCGACCUCAGACUUCCCAGCCUCCAGAAUGGCCAUGGCUUUGAAUGUGGCGUGUGGGAUCUCUGGCGGGUCAUCGUCACAGAGCUCUGCAAAGCAAAAGAAGCCUAUUAGGAACUCAAGAGGCCCCAGGAGUUCUGUAUGCAGCUGAAGGGUAACAUCCCUUGGGAGCUUUUGCCUUGUCUGGCUGACGCCUUGGCAAUCGCAAGUGACAGUGACGGAGAGCCACCUCCUCUGGAAUGCAUCAUGGAACAGAAAGGGAAAAGCCAGGCAUUUGUAGUCCUCCUGCCACAGAUGACCAGAAUGACCUCACCCAGGACAAACGGCGACAGAUUUAGGAAUUCAAGCCAGCUUUUCUGACUCCCAGGCACCUGCUCUCUCCUUUCGAGUGUUCGACUCCACUCUCAGUCACUCGUCACUCUUCCCAGAAGGACAAAUGUGCAGCUUCUAUGUCUUGGAUUUCAAAUAAAAGACGAGGAACUUGGUGAAAUGAGGUGGUCUUUGCCUUCCGCGUCACUCUCUGCUCCUCCUGGCAAGAGGCCCCAUUUUUCUUGCCACUGAGGUUAAGUGAAAACAAAACAAAACAAACAAACAAAAAAGAGGCCCCAUUCACAGUAAAGAUAAACAGCAGCCUGGGCAGGCCAGCGGCUCUUCCCUGACGUGGAAUUAUGAGCCCUCUUUCUUCGAUUUUGCCACAUACCCGCAGCUGCACUCCCAUAAUCUGAAAGCUGUCCCUUUAAUUUUUACCACUUCAUUAUUAGAAUUGGAGUAGAAUGAAAAUUAAUUUUUCCCUGAGCUAUUUUUGUGUCCCUUGAGUUAACCAGAAAUACCAACCCUGGAAAGAGAUGUGGGGGACAGUCAUUUUAGAGAGCGGACACCACUGCUGAAGAAGAAGGAUAUCCCGGUUGGCUGCUCUAGAGCCGGCAGGACGGAUGCUGAGGUUGUUCGCAGCAGCGUGUGUGCAGAGCCCCCGGGAUCUUGCAGACUGGGAUUUGUCAGGGCAGGUGUGGACAUUGAGGCUAUUUCUAACAAGCUCCUACAUGAUGCUGGGGCUGCAGAGCCCCAGGCCGCACUUGGAGUAUGAGAGUUUCCAGGGAGUGAAGCCCCGGCUGCUCUCUCUGCCCCCUCUCCAUCUGCCCCCUGGGUGAGGACAGGACUCCCAUCCCUCCAGUGCACAGUGAGUGCUGCUCAAUCUGCAUCCACAGCGGUUUGUGCCCAGAUGCUUCCUCACUCAGCGUCUAACAGGGUGCAGUGGAAACGUCAUUGACUGGAGGAAAGGUGUGUGGGUGAGAAACGUUUGUCGGUUGAGUAACUUUUUGUCGUUAUUUUUUUUCUCUGAUGUUCAAAGUAAGAGAAAACUCAUCUGGCCCCUGGAGCCCAUGUGAGCAACAUGAAAGAUAAAGGGAAAAGGGGGCUGAUAAAGAUGUGGACCGAGUCUGAGAUAAGAUUCUUUGCCCCUUGGGUGAAUCCAGGUGAAGUUGUUUUACUCUUAGCCCAGCCAGCCCUGGAUAAAGGCUUCAUCCCUCUUCUCUUUCCUGUCCAUAUAUCAGAACUUUAAGCUCUACUUGUACCCAGUGAAGAUUAGAAUAACGCACGGAGCACAGGAAAUGUCUAGGUGAUGAUUUCACUGAGCUUUACAAGGGACACAGGUACGCAUCAAGAGCUUGGGCCACUGGGUAAAGAGGGAUCUGGUUCUUGCUCUAACGCGGUUCAUCUUCUGUGUCAGAAUCAGAUAGAUUCUGGGUGUCAGAGACCCGAAUCUUCCUCUUGUUCCGCUCACUGCCCCCCUGUGGCCCCUUCUCAUUUCAAAUGCUCUGUCUGUAAUAUGAAAUGAAAAGAAUUCCUCCCAGACCCCUAGCCAAAUUUCACCUUAAGCUCGUUGACUCCCAGAGGAAAUCUCUGUGGGAGACUGGAAAGAGGACGCUGGAGCCAGAGGCUAUCUUUGAUAGUGAGGUGAGGUUUACUGUUUAAUAAGAACUCCAAAGAUAUGCCUAAUAUUGAAGGUUGUCUCUCGCUUCCUUGGGAAACCCAAACCAGAAGUUUAGGCCGUAUAGAAAGUAAGUGGUUUGGGUGCAAAAGGGAUGUAGAACAUCCCUUUUAAUGGUAUCAUAGAAUAUGAGAACUAGAAGAGAGCUCAAAGAUCAUUUAGGCCAACCUCUACAUUUUAUAGAUAAGAACACUGGGCCUGUGGUCAUUCCACAAGUUUGUGGCAAGCCUUGGAUUACAACAGAUCACCAGGUUCCCUGACUCCUAGUUCAGUGCUUUUCCAACACCCAGAAUCAUAAUCUUCAGGAAGGAGCGUGCUUUUCACCUAUCUGUUGAAGGUUAUCUCUUAC